UACGAAGGGUGCAAGCGUUGUUCGGAAUUAUUGGGCGUAAAGGGUUCGUAGGCUGGAAGCAAAGUCAAGCGUGAAAUCCUCAGGCUUAACCUGAGAGCUGCACUUGAUACUGGUUUUCUUGAGUGCUGGAGAGGGUGGCGGAAUUGCUGGUGUAGGAGUGACAUCCGUAGAGAUCAGCAGGAACAUCAGAGGCGAAAGCGGCCACCUGGUCAGAUACUGACGCUGAGGAACGAAAGCGUGGGGAGCAAACAGG
This 253-nucleotide ribosomal RNA is filed under the name uncultured bacterium. RNAcentral describes it as "partial 16S ribosomal RNA". It matches the Rfam family "Bacterial small subunit ribosomal RNA", at positions 524 to 776 of the family's 1533-position model. The record is from RNAcentral.